UUUUGAAGUGCUGCAUGACAUGGGGAAAUCUAGAGGAGUUUGAUACUUGGGAUGUUUGAUAUAAGCAAGAGGCAUGUUGUCCAAGACAUCAUUGGUCGUGAGACAUUUGCAUAGAUUCAGAAACCAGCAGUUUCGUCACCAAGGGAUCACUAAAAAUCCAGCAACAUAAAAUCUACUAGCACUAAUCGAGGUAAAUGUUUUAAUACAAAAGCAAUGUUCCUAAAGGUAAGCGUCGCAAUGUUCAUAUGCAUGUUAGCGGUGAUGCUUAUACUUUGAGCCUUUGGACACCUCCUUCCAUGCUUCCCGGUCCGCGCAUUUCCUCAUCUUGGUUGGGUCAUACACAAAGAAUAGAGCAUUCACAUUAUGUUUACAAUUCUUCCGGUGCACCCAGUAUUUUUAGCAACCAAUAACAAAUUCAUAACCUUGAUAACGUCAUCAAACUGCCAAAUUGGAAGAAGCAAAGUGAGUACUAUAAGAGUGGGUAAUUUCAACAAAAGAAAAGAAAUAGGUGAAGAAGUUAGACACUUAUCCCACAUCACUAUACGCAUGACCAUAAAUCUUCAGCCUUGUGUUCAUUACAGACUAAAUCCUGGCCAUGUUACUGCAGCAAUAAGACCAACCUCUAUGAAUGCAAACAGUAAAAGGAAUUCAGAAAACAAAAGAGAUUGUGUUAAAAUAGAGUUGCAUAGUCUCAUCAUACGCACAAAUGUCAGAAAUAAAUAAAACAAAUCAUAAUCAGAUCAAUCACGUAAUGAAUUUAGAAGGGAAGAAGAGUCAGUUGGCGGUUACAAACUAAUGCAAGCAGUAACAGUCAGCCAGAAUUCAUCACAUAUUCCCUUGAUUUACUACACAUUAUUUUCGAGCAAUUAGGAAAUUAAGGGGCAUGUAAUCAGACAGAUUUCUUGGAGCAGGGUAUCAGGGAUAGUUAAGCAAAUGCAAACCAGAAGGCAUGUUGAUUUCAGUUACAUAAUCAGCCUAAUUGUAGCAGUAAAGAGCAGUCAUAGAGCAGAGUUCUUAUAAGUUACUGGAUCAAAAUGGGCAGCCCAGGGGUCUACCUUCAAACAGUAUAAAAGGGGGAUACAUAUAUCAUAUACAUGGCACUCAACAAAAGAGGGAGAGGCCAAAAAAGCAACAGCUAGGGAACAUAGCUACGCAUACAUAACCACAAGAGAAAUCAGCCAAGAGAUAGUGCAGUAAGGCAUCCAGAAACAGGAAAGCAGAAACGCGAUUGCAACAGAACAUAAGACAACAUACAUCAUAGCAAGAGACCACACUCAGGAGGAAUAAAAAGGAAGAAGCAUAACUCAGGUAAGCACUUAAGCCAUAAAAAAUUCUAUGAACAUUCCUUGCUUUAUAUGGCUUAUACAUUAGACUUAUAAGAUUAUUUCGUAACCAUUGCUAAUCAGUCAUAACACAGAAAUACAUAUACAUAUAUUAGAAUGUAAAAAGCAUAACUGAACUUUGUUUUAGUCUAUAUGUCUCCGCGAAUUGAUGCCAUUAAUAUGAUUAUGAAAAAUUCUAAUAGAAAAAAUGGAUUAUUCCCUUAUCAUUAAUCUGGAACCCAGUGAGCCUCAUGCAAAGGAUAGAGGUUCAAAAAGAAAAAAGAAAGUAAUUACCCCUCUCUAACCUGAUGUGAGAGGACGCCCUGGUUUAAUCGAUGUGGCGCGUAUCCUCAGUGCUCUUCAAUCUGUUUUGGUUCGGCCUUUAAUGGCUAUGGGUUAUCGUU
This 1726-nucleotide long non-coding RNA is filed under the name Lupinus angustifolius (narrow-leaved blue lupine). Its description in RNAcentral is "long non-coding RNA (LANG_LNC003229)". Lineage: Eukaryota; Viridiplantae; Streptophyta; Magnoliopsida; Fabales; Fabaceae. The record is from RNAcentral.